GAGGAAUAUUGCACAAUGGGCGCAAGCCUGAUGCAGCAACGCCGCGUGAGGGACGAAGGCCUUCGGGUCGUAAACCUCUUUUCUGGGGGACGAGGAAGGACGGUACCUCAGGAAUAAGUCUCGGCUAACUACGUGCCAGCAGCCGCGGUAAAACGUAGGAGGCGAGCGUUAUCCGGAUUUACUGGGCGUAAAGCGCACGCAGGUGGCUUCGUCAGUCGGACAUGAAAGCUCCUGGCUUAACUGGGAGAGGUUGUUCGAUACUGCGAGGCUUGAGGUUGGGAGAGGGACGCGGAAUUCCCGGUGUAGUGGUGGAAUGCGUAGAUAUCGGGAGGAACACCAGUGGCGCAAGCGGCGUCCUGGCCCACACCUGACGCUGAGGUGCGAAAGCGUGGGUAGCAAAC
RNAcentral lists this ribosomal RNA (401 nucleotides) under uncultured bacterium. Its description in RNAcentral is "bacterial SSU rRNA". It matches the Rfam family "Bacterial small subunit ribosomal RNA", at positions 356 to 773 of the family's 1533-position model. The record is from RNAcentral.